This is a non-coding RNA of Triticum urartu, 2349 nucleotides long. The record is from RefSeq and is a predicted model, not a curated record. NCBI's taxonomy places the organism in Eukaryota, Viridiplantae, Streptophyta, Magnoliopsida, Poales, Poaceae.
CCUGUCUCUCUCGUUCCUCCCCAACUACGCCUCGGCGUACACUUAAAAAAAAACUAGGGUUGCCGCCGCCGCCGCCGCCCCAUUGUUCCUCUGGCACUGCCCACCGGAGAGGGAUGACCGUGGGAGGAGCAGCCACGCAAGGUGGAGCCCUCGUCACGAUGAAGCAGCGGGAAGAGGAGCCCCACCCAGAUGAGUUCCUCCACGUCGCCCAUGGACGGUCCUUCUUCCCUGGAGACGCCCAGGGCUGACGGAUGUUGUUUGUCGUCAGCCCAGGGCCCGGUUGGCCGGAGCAGUCGGAGAGGAGUGGCAGGCUCGCCGUCGCCAUCGCCGGUAGGAGCGCCAGGCCCAUCUUCCUCGCAUCGGCCGGGCUGUUCGCGCGGCGGGGGUGGAGUUCGUGCGAGGCGGAUGUUCGCCGAUCUGUUCCUGCGAGCCCUUGGUUACCUGUGCUGCCUUAUUUCCUAGGUGCCGCCAUCCUAGCAAGCACGGCCACGCCGGCGUCUUCUCUGGUGCUACCGGCAAGCAAUCGACCACGCCGCUGCCAAGCCUCUGGCGCUCCCUGGUAGCCAUCCCUACAUCUCUCUGGUACAACCGUCCCCUUCCCUCUCCUCUAGUAUGGAUCGAAUUUGGCCAUAGAUACUUGGACUGUAGAUAAUUUCCAGAUUUGUGAGCAUUGAUGCUUGUGCUUUCUUGUUCAUGUUCUGGUGAGGAAGAAGGGAAAACGCUGGAGCCAAUAGAUGUUUAGUGGGACUAUGUUCUGAAUUGACAAAGCUAAAGGAAUCACAUGCCAUCUAUCUCUCAAAUUGGUUAUUUGGACGGUGAGAUUAGCUUGUUUUGAUAAUUUUUCUCAAUGCAAGGAAGGAAACAGAAUAUGGGGAUUGCAACUAUGGAAUGGGGAUUAGAUAUUCUUGACAGAGAGGCAUAGAUUUCUAAUGUCAGUCUUUGAUAGAGUUCACAUAUGACUGCAGUUUUUACAUCUAUGGAAUUGUGAUUGGAUAUUCUUGAGUAUCCAGUUCUUCACUGUUAAUUGAAUAUAUAUUGGAAGUCAAAUUUCUAGUACAAGUUAAAGUGUGAUAGGGAACUGCUUAACAACAUUAUAAACUGUUGAACCAAAAGCACUUCACUGAAAGAGCCAGAGUAUGCUUAUCAAUUUAUUGUCCGCCUCACAGUGGUUGUAUUUAGGUUACUUUUUUGCCCUGAGUUUCAGCAUUGACUCAUUGUUUGCAUAUGUGAUCAGAUUUCCAUUCUUCUUUUAGGCAACAGAUAGGUUUAUUGAUAUGGCUCGUAUGCAAGCUCCUGCGGAAGUGAAUCUCAAUUUGCCAGUAUGAAAAAUUACGCUUGUGCGGCAUAUGCUCAUUUGCUAUCAGAUGGUUACAGCUUAAGGCAUGCUAUCAAACACGCAAGAUGGAGUUGAAACUGUUCGUCUUUGCCUAGCAGCAUCAGAAUUACAAUUUAGCUGUAUCUCAGGUCACAAAAUGCUUUGGAUAGCGUAUGUACUCAUGUCAGUUGCAUUCCAUGUCUUUUUUCUCGUCUAUUUUAUUUGGAUCAGGAGAUGGAAAAUUAAGGUAACCAUUCUCGGUGUCGUCACUAUCAUCCUCACAUCGAGAUGUCUCCAACAAUGCCGCCAUAAUUGUCCCUCGUGUUGUCAUUGUCAUCCUGAUAGGCAGCUCGAAUGCUUGGUUAGAGGAUCCCAGGUGCAAGGCAAACCGCCAUCUUCUCUCACUGUUCAUCGUCUCUAGACGCACCGCCGUCGACAUCAGCUACCGCCUAUACAUAUGAUCCAUGUAUCAUCUUUAGUAUCUCUCAUGCUCAGGAGAGGCAGAGGUCACCCAGCUAGCUCGUGCAGCACCAAGGGCGAUGGAGAUAUGCAAGCACAUUAGCUGAUGAGAGGAUGUACUAAAUGUUAUGCAGAAACCAAAUGAAUAACUUUUCUUGCUCAUCCCUAUAUCAUGUUCUCAGUCUUGUAUCUUCUGAUCAGUUAAGUCAUUUUGGCUUGUGAUCUUUUUUCCAUUCAGUCAGUCUCAAAUCUCAUCUUGGCAUAUACAUAAGAAAGAAGAAGCCAAGAGCAUGUGAAAUGUAUCUGUACAUGUCUGCCACAUAAUUCUAGCUUUUAUUUGCUCCGCGAAAAUAGUUGCACGGGAGGCGUAAUGAGAUGCUUCAGCAAGAAAAGUGUGCCACAAGCACGCACUUGGCGGGCCCCAGCCACUUGUAGGUUAGGGCACGCCUCCUUUCUCCUUCGUUUCUAGGUACCGUGUAUAGCUUGAGAGACAAGUUGAGUUGAUGUUGUGCAUCCUUUGUACCUAUACAUGUGCACUUGCACGUGAGCAAUGAAUUGAGUCACAUCCAAUCCAA